Molecule: ribosomal RNA, 107 nt
Organism: Chlorocebus sabaeus (green monkey)
Lineage: Eukaryota; Metazoa; Chordata; Mammalia; Primates; Cercopithecidae
Source: Rfam
AGUAAGGAUUUUCAUCCACCCUGAAUGUGCCUGAUCAAGUUUGAUCUCGGAAGCUAAGCAGGGUCAGGCCUGGUUAGUACUUGGGUGGAAUUAGGAUAUUCUUAAUA